UACGUAGGGGGCAAGCGUUGUCCGGAUUUAUUGGGCGUAAAGAGCGUGUAGGCGGCCAUUCAGGUCAGCUGUGAAACUCGAGGCUCAACCUCGAGACGUCGGUUGAAACCGUUUGGCUAGAGUCCGGAAGAGGAGAGUGGAAUUCCCGGUGUGAGACGGUGAAAUGCGGCAGAUAUCGGGAAGAACACCCGUGGCGAAGGCGGCUCUCUGGGACGGUACUGACGCAUGAGACGGCGAAAGCG
Molecule: ribosomal RNA, 242 nt
Filed under: uncultured bacterium
Lineage: Bacteria
Description: partial 16S ribosomal RNA
Rfam family: Bacterial small subunit ribosomal RNA
Source: RNAcentral